ACAGUUCGUAGUUAUGACAAAAAUGGCCUUGGAGUCCCUGAAAAGUAACCUAGGCAACCAUUGUCAUCCUGAACCACAUGUCACAGGUGCUAUCACCAGCAGAGCCAUUGGGGGACUCAAUACACAGUUCAGCUAUGUGACCUCCAGAAUUCGAGACCCAGCUUAAGUGCCACCUCCCCCAGGGAGCUGCUUCUUCCUGCUCUCCAGUGACCUGCACAGUUCCAGCAGAAUCCAGGCCUGGCUUGUGACCUAGGAAGGGAAGUGGCCAGCUGAAAACACUGCCCUGGAGAAACCAAAGCCACCACUGCCACGAAGGCAGCCCUCUUUCCUCCCAUGGCCUGGCCUGGCCCCAGCUGUUCGUGGGCGUAAGCAGGCACAGACACCCAGGAAUGGGUUAAGAACCCUCUGGAAAUGCUCCAUACACAUCAGAAGACAGGGCACCCACAUGCUUGUGUGAGGAUGACUGACACACUCAGGCAAGACCGGCUCAGAGCUGGGUGACAAAGGAGAAGGUGAGGCGGGCUGGGGGCGGGGCCUCCCUUGUGCAAGAGAACGGCAGGGGCCUUGCCUAAGCCAGAACAAGGGUCCUCUAAAGCAGCUCGGAAUCUCUCCGGGGCCUGGGCCUCUGACAGCUGUGAAGCCUCUUGGGCUCUUCUCAGAGUAACGUUUUCCAGUGCAGUAUAUUCCAAACCCCAGGUUAUCGUGAAAUGGUUUUUAAUUACUUUUAAAACUGCAGCAAACACAAGUUCCUUCUUAAUACUAUAAGAACUAAUGUGGUUCUCCCGCCUGCCUCGCAAGUGCAAGGACCUGAGUUAGAUCCCUGGUACCAAAAAAAGAACUAAUGUGAC
Heterocephalus glaber (naked mole-rat) is the source of this 848-nucleotide non-coding RNA. Lineage: Eukaryota; Metazoa; Chordata; Mammalia; Rodentia; Bathyergidae. The record is from RefSeq and is a predicted model, not a curated record.